RNAcentral lists this transfer RNA (71 nucleotides) under Conidiobolus sp. RNAcentral's name for it is "tRNA-Ile". It matches the Rfam family "tRNA". Rfam says of the family: Transfer RNA (tRNA) molecules are approximately 80 nucleotides in length. Their secondary structure includes four short double-helical elements and three loops (D, anti-codon, and T loops). Lineage: Eukaryota; Fungi; Entomophthoromycota; Entomophthoromycetes; Entomophthorales; Conidiobolaceae. The record is from RNAcentral.
AGGAUCAUAACUUAAAGGUAAAGUGUUUGGUUGAUAACCGAAAAAUAUUGGUUCAAUUCCAGUUGGUCCUA